Molecule: RNA transcript, 569 nt
Organism: Dermacentor silvarum
Lineage: Eukaryota; Metazoa; Arthropoda; Arachnida; Ixodida; Ixodidae
Exons: 3
Source: RefSeq, a predicted model, not a curated record
GGCCUUGACAACGACUCCGCAUGGUGUCUCAGUAGUUGUUCCGUUGCCUUCUGUACCUUCGCUGUCGUCUGAAUUGUGCUGUAGCCAAGGGAAUCUGAAGAGGACAUCGCCGUAAUAGGAGAGGAAACACAGAGCAUCGCCUUAUUACGGACUUACAAUUCAUCCAAGAAAAAGUGUCUGAGAAGCACAAGGCGUGGCGAAUGACUUCUACCAAGAGCCUCGACGUGGGUGAUUUUGCCGUGUUCGGCAUCCUCACUGUUCUCGGAUACGUGGUCGGCCUGUACUUCUCUGUGUCUCGGCGCAGCCUCCAGGUGGCGCACAUCGAAGGCGGUGGUCAUGCCAGCGCCGAAGUGGAUGCUUUCCUUGGUGGCCGCAGCCUUCCGGCGUCCGCUCUGGCCGUCUCACUGGUGGCGUCUGUGGUGACCGGCGUAAACGUCGUGAGCUUCGUGGGCCACUUAUACGCGCAUGGUUUUCACCUGCUAUGGACCAUGGCCGCGAUACCGGUGGCAAUGGUUGUAACGUCCACCACACUGGUACCGCUGCUUUACGAUAUGCGGGCGGCGUCUGUG